AUGCCGUGCCGCCCGGGCGUCCAGCAGCUCGGCGCGUCCACGUCGUCCCGAGGAACGGAGGCGACGCCGCGGAAGUAUCGUGGCGUGAGGCGGCGGCCGUGGGGUAAAUGGGCGGCUGAGAUCCGUGACCCGCAGAAGGCGGCGCGGGUGUGGCUUGGCACGUUCGCCACCGCCGAGGACGCGGCGCGCGCGUACGACGCCGCCGCGCUCCGCUUCCGCGGGAGCCGCGCCAAGCUCAACUUCCCCGAGGACGCCGCGGCCGCCACCGCGCGCCGCGCCAGGGACGCCGCGACGGCCGCGGCGGCGGCGUCCUCGAAGCCGGCUGCGCUGCUGGAGUCGCAGGACGGCGACGUCAUGGACUACCUGGACUACUCCAAGAUCCUCGCGGAGCCGGAGCCGAGCAACGUGAUGGGUCGGCUCCUUGGCGGCGACGGGAACGGACGGUUCCUGGGGUCGUGGAGCAUCGGGACGUCGCCGGCGUCGUCUGCGUCGAGCGCGUCGCUCGCCGGGGCCGGACCCGCCUCCGUUGCUCUGUUUCCGUGCGGCAGCGGCUUGAAGCAGAGCAGUGAGAGUUCGUCGCAUAGGGGUUACUAG
RNAcentral lists this ribosomal RNA (594 nucleotides) under Triticum aestivum (bread wheat). RNAcentral's name for it is "partial small subunit ribosomal RNA". The record is from RNAcentral. Lineage: Eukaryota; Viridiplantae; Streptophyta; Magnoliopsida; Poales; Poaceae.